AUAAAAAUAUAUAAAAAAUAUUCCAUGAAAAAAAGACAGAGAGAGAGAGAGAGAGGACCCACCCACAUUGGUGUGAACAGCCAUUGGCAGCCAGGUUUGCAUAAACAGAGGAGAAAGACAGGAGCGUUGUUCAUCGACGUUAUCGUCUGAUUGGAUUGUCUAUAUAAAUUUCAAAAAAAAAAAAAAAACCCAAUGAGAAAAAAGAAGAAAAACUUUGAAUCCAACUCUUCAACGAAGUUUAUUUAUUCUUUAUCACUCACUUAAAAUCAUUAGUCACUGCCAUUUGGAAAAUCACCAAUCUUCUUUUUCGCUGAUUUCUGACCUGUUUUUUAAGUGCUGGAAAGAAGACUUGGGCAAUGACUUAAACCCAUUUCAACCUUAUUUGUUGAGUUGUGAAGAAUUUGUGUUGUCUGCUUAUAUCUAGUUGAGCAUCUUCAGAAAACCCAAUUUGUCGAUUUGAGGCUUUUGAUCUUUAUUGGCAAUGGAAAACCUACCUGUUGAAGUCAUUGGAAACAUUUUAUCUCGGCUUGGAGGUGCCCGAGAUGUGGUAAUAGCAUCUGCAACAUGUCGAAAAUGGCGAGAGGCUUGUCGGAAACACCUUCAUACCCUAGCAUUUAAUUCUAAUGAUUGGCCUGCUUUUCAUGAUGUUACACCUAGACGAUUAGAGAUCUUGAUUACUCAAACAAUAUUCCAAACUACAGGAUUGGAAGGCCUAUCGAUUUUGAUGGAUGAUGUUGAUGAGUUCUCGGCUUCAACUGUUAUCGCUUGGCUCAUGUAUACGAGGGAAACCUUGCGCCGGUUGUUUUAUAAUGUCCGGACUAGCCCUAAUGUUAACAUUCUCGAAAUCUGUGGGAGGCAGAAGCUGGAAAAGUUGGCACUAUCCCAUAAUUCAAUAACAGGGGUUGAACCUAAUUUUCAGAGAUUCCCUUGUUUGAAGUCCCUCUCACUGAGUCAUGUUAGUAUUUCGGCUUUGGAUUUGAGCCUUUUGCUCACUGCAUGUCCAAAGCUUGAGAGCUUGGAACUUGUCAAUCCAGAAAUAGCAAUGUCAGAUGCACAGGUGACAGUGGAAUUAAGCAGCCCAACAUUAAAGAGUAUUUAUGUUGAAGCAAUUAGUUUGGAUAAAUUUAUGCUGGAGGCUGAUAGUAUUGAGCGUUUGCAUUUGAGGGAUUGUGCCCUUGAACUUUUUGAACUGAUUGGGAAAGGUACUCUGAAAUAUUUCAAGAUUGAUGAUGUUAGCGUGAUACAUCUUGACAUUGGUGAGACUGUUGAUAAUCUUGAGGUUGUUGAUGUCAGUAACUUCACAAUCAUCUGGCCAAAAUUCUACCAGAUGAUUUCAAGAUCCUCAAAAUUGAGGAAGCUUCGGCUUUGGGAUGUGGCCUUUGAUGAUGAAGAUGAGGUUGUGGAUUUGGAAACAAUUGCAGUUUAUUUUCCACAAUUGAACCAUCUUUCAUUAAGUUAUGAAUUGCGAGAUGGCAUCAUGCAUUAUGGUCUCCAAGGAUCUUCUAAUUUGGAGAAUGUGAUGGUGCUGGAGCUUGGAUGGACUGUAAUUAAUGAUCUCUUUGCACAUUGGGUCGAGGAGCUGUUAAAACGAUGCCCAAAUCUUAAAAAAAUGAUUAUUUUUGGGGUUGUUUCAGAAGCCAAGUCACAUGAAGAAUGCCAGAUAUUGGCCAACUUCACCUCAUCAAUUGUUCAGCUUAUGAGGAAAUAUAUGCAUGUAGAGGUUCAGUUUGAAUAUGAGUAAAAUUCUCUCAAUUGCAUUGUUAAAUUCAAGUAUUGGUUGAAUCAUGAACCAUAUAAGCAGAUAUGAAGAUUUGUAUCAGAAUACUGGAACAAAUGUUAUGUUGCAAAUGCUAUAUACAUGGCCACAUUGACAUAUGUUAUGACCUAUAAAAUGAAAUCAGAUCAGGACCAUUGAUUGAUAAAAUAACAGGAUGCGAUGAGAAGAUUCUGAGUCUAUAUGGGAAUGGUUGCAUGGUAUAUUUAUUUCAGCUGAAGAAAUGAGUACAUGUUGUAAAUCUACAUGAACUUUCUGUUUCCUGUGUCAAUGGACAGAUAUGUGCUUUACUUUGUGUUCUUUAUGUAUUUACUGUUCGUAAUUUUUUAGACUAGGAUGCUCCACAGUUGCUGCUCGGUUUGACAACUCUCUGUUUGGGUUGCCUCAGGAAUACUGCCUGCACUGCAGCACUGGAAUGGAAAGAAACUUCCAAUGGUUCCUCGAUUCUUUUCUUUUCUUUGUGGCGGACUUAUGAACAUAGUAUUAUGACUUCUGAGUAGUAUAUGCUAUCAGGUCUCAGCAAAUUUAAUUUGUCGGUCUACCUCUUAUAUCACUCCUUUUCUGGUGGGUGGUAUUAGAUUGACUGAAUUUGAAUGUUGAAGUUUGAUUUAGUAUCACUACUGUGGUUUUAACAAUUCAUUUGUGACUUUUAACACUUUCAAACAUAAAUUAUUACGUUGAAAUACAGUUCAGCUGUUGUACAUUACAUUUGGUGAGAUCAUUGCAAGGAAGCAACCUGAUGAAUUCGAGGAUCUGAAAAUGCUGCAAUUUCAUUUUCUGUGUCAUUCAGGUUCUUCUUUCUUCUUUCUUCAUGGCUACCUUGCUGAAUGGCUGAAAGGCUGAAAGGGAAAUCCUUGGUGUUCCAACAGUGGCUCACUAUUGCAUUGCACGUGUUCUUUUAAGGCCAUGUGAAAGAAUUUGUGGUUGGGGAAGAACAUUGACAAAAACAAAGUGUUUUGCCUUUUAGGCUCCAUAUAUUAGUCAGAGUAUUAGAAAUAAACUUGUCAGCAGAUGGUCAAAAUUAUACUCCCAAUUGGGCCAUUGGGAAGAAAUUCUUCAAAUUCUUAGUGUAUAUACCCGACCAAGUGGAGGAAAAGAACUUGCUUGCUUGUAUAGCUGGCUAAGGAAAAUUGUUCAACCAACUCUCAUCUACCAAUUCUGGGGUAGGAUAACCAAAGCUACAGGUCACCUUAUAAUAGUAAUAAUUUUCAAUUUUCGGC
Durio zibethinus is the source of this 2994-nucleotide non-coding RNA. Lineage: Eukaryota; Viridiplantae; Streptophyta; Magnoliopsida; Malvales; Malvaceae. The record is from RefSeq and is a predicted model, not a curated record.